RNAcentral lists this long non-coding RNA (4374 nucleotides) under Gallus gallus (chicken). The record is from RNAcentral. Lineage: Eukaryota; Metazoa; Chordata; Aves; Galliformes; Phasianidae.
UAAAAGAUUUACAAUACUUGCAACAUGACAAUUUAUGUACUUAUUUGCAUAGUACAUCUCCCUUCCUAGCAAAAAUACAUAUGAUAGUAAAUACUACUUUGACCACUGCUAGCUUAGGCAGUAAGUUGGUCUGAGCAGGGGUCAGUCUGCUCUACUAUGUAGUCUCCAACUGUGGCUCCCUGCAAAGGCAGGGAAAAAUCAGAGAGCAUGUUUGUUUUUUUCCUACUAUUGAACAAACAGCACACCCAAAACCACAGCCUUAGUGCAUUAGCCUGAAAGGGAGCCAAGGAUAAUCAUGACCCCUUACCAUGGAGAAGUUUGAUAUUGACAUAUUAUACAUAUAUCUGUCUUCCCCUAAUACUGUAAUAUCUUUGAUUUCUGAUUCCUUGUGUCUCUUCUGUUACUAUGUUUGUCUUCCACAUCUUCUUGUUUUAUCUGGGGUUCUCAGCUUCCCUCAACUCUAAUGCAGCAUUCAAGUUCCAGGCCAAAGAUUCUGGGAGUGCAGCUAUAACUUGUGGGUUUAUGUGAUCCCUUGUUACUGUAACCCAGGGGUAAAGCGGUGCUGUACUGGGCUUAUUUUUCCCUGUAGGGCUUCAGAAUACACUUCCCUGCAAGGGGCUACUCUGAGGUUAAAGACUUCAAAUACUAGCCCUUAGGGGCAUAUUACAGUAACAGCCACCUGUGGUUGUGUUCCCUCAGUCCAACCAAGAGGAGUGUUUUUUAAUGGUAUUCUCUAUUGCUGAUGUUAAAGCACCUCGUCAAUGCAUCCAGGACACACAUUCCUGGUAUUGACAUUGUCACUCCUUUGAGUCUGUCUCUAGCCAUACUGCCUUGGUUGCAAAGGUUUCAGGGGGCAGUUUUUUCCUUGGAAUUAUAAAAUAAUUAAUUAAUUAUUACAAUUGUUUUACAAUUGAGCUUUCAAUUCCUCCUAUUCUUUUUAUUACAACAGCAUGUUAAGCUUGCUUUCAGCUACAUGAAGCUUUUGCUAUAUGUGCCUUCAAUAUGUAACUGAUAAGCCAUAUACUGAACCUUCUGUUACCAGAUCUGCUUAACCUUGCCUCGGAAUGUUUGGUUGGUGCUUGCUGUUUUUUUCCAUGUUAUUUCCUCAAUACAGCUCCACGUAGCCACAAAAGGAGAGAAACCCAAAUUCUACAAGCAGCCAGAGAAGUCAUAAUUGAAUUGCAGAGCCUGUUAGAAGCUUUGCUUCAGUUGUGCCUGUCUUUGCUUGUUUACCUCCGCUCCGCUCACUUUCUUCCCUGGCUGAUUGGGUUAAGUUUUCUGCAUGCAGCUCUUGCAGGAGUUUAAAACUUGUUUCACAAGUUAGUAUGCUUUUCUACUCUGUUCCUGCUAAUCUGCACUUGGGCAGCUUAGAGUUGCACUCUGGCAUGCCUGAAGAAGCACAAACAAACUUCUUGAGUACUAAUAACUUUGUCACUAAAGGGCCCUCUACACCCUUUAAGGCUUUUUCUGCUCAUCUUCUAGUUUGUUUUCAUCUGUCUAAAGAUACAUAAAGGAACAGAUGUAUCCACUUACACACUGUCUUAGGCUCUAGGGCUUUGCUAGGAAGUCCAAGAUCACUGCUAAAGAACAGUGGUCAUUAUUAACUGAACAAUUCAAUUAAACUUGGAAUGAAUUUCACUGCUGCUGCAGCCUGAAGCAGUGUAUUAGUUUUCCACUUCCAGACCACUUCUAGGUUAAUUCAGAAUGAAUACCUUCAUCUCCCACACCCAUCUUACACUCAUUAACACCUAUUCUAAACUAAACAUUACUUGCUAUGACUUUAUGCUACCACAGACUGUGACAAAGACUGAAGUUUAUGUAAUUAGUGUCUGCAACAGCACAUGAAGAAGGAAACAAAUUGCUAAACCUGGCAUUUAACUUCAGAACACCAAAGACUCAGCUGAACCCAUACCCAUGACCCAAUCUUGCAGGUCUCCACCCAUCAGCUGUGCAACCCCCCCCACUUUGUCACCUACCACAGAGCAGGAUGGAUUGGAAAGGAAGGGGAAAACAUAGAUGGAUGUUGGUUGACUUAUUAAAGGGAAAACUAAAAAGUGAUGUAAACACAAUCACCGCUACUUACCAGAAGACCAAAGCCCAGGUAGUCUCCAAGCAGCAGUUCACGAAGUAUUUCCCCCCCUUGCCCAUUUUUAUUGCUAAGCAUGAUGUUAAACAGUGCCAAAUACCUCUUUGGUCAGUUCAGGUCAGCAAUCCCAUCCACGUCCCUUCAAGCCUCUUGCCCACCCCCCACCCUACUGUAGGAACACAGAGCAGUGUAAGAAACAAAAGGCUUCAGCGCACUGCAGGCACUGUUCGGCAAACACACACAGGAUAUCACCACUCUUUUAACACAAAUCUAAACCCCAGCAGUACCUGGGAGCACUCUGAAGAAAGUUAACUCCGUCCCCUCCAGCCCCAGUAUACGUAGUGAGCUGCACACAACUGAGAACACAACUGCAGCUACACAAUUAGCACUCCUGAGGAAUAGGAAUUUCCAUUCAGCAUGUUAAACUGAAGGUAGACAAUACAUGCUUAUUUUCUAAACACUCGAGAUCUACGUUUCUAAGGUAUUUCAACUUUGUUGGCAGUAAAGUCUUAAACAUUUUCCUAAGCUUAUUUCUUAGCUUGCCUUCGCUUCCAGCUGAAACUGGCCUUAAUGAAUGAAGCCUGCCUUAGCUGAUCUCAUUAAGCACACUCACACACCAUCUAAAGUUUCAGUCGUUUAUUGUCGUUACUUCUGAAUCCUUAAGAACUUGGUUAAGGCGAGAGAUAAGCAUAUUAGUUACAAUUUGUAUAACAAGUAAUAAAAAGAUUUGAUUAUCUGUACACUACUUUUCAUUAUACUUAGCGAGUGAUGCCUUCAGCUAUACUCAGCCUAGCUGGCAUUCUUGUGUAAACAGUAUUUACUGGAACAAAAAAUAAGCUACUACUAGCCAUACUUCUAACGUGCUAUCUCAAAUCUACUCUUGCAAACAGAAAGCAGUAAAAAUACUUGGUUUUUCUCUUAAAUGUACAAAGCACAGCAUUGCCCUAGUUAACAACACUUAACUUUGCAAGUUACAUCUGGUUCCUUCAGUUGCAUGGCUUAUCAUCGUAGUAAACUAAGGAAGAGACCUAUGAAAAGAAGUCCUAACAUAAUUGGAAUUUCACGUUUGUCAAGCAUAUAAGGCUACAAGUUUUACAGUUUGCAGAUAAACGAGAUAUGUUGAACUGUAACAUUGCCAGCCAUGACAGAUGCAAGUGCUUGACACAGCAUAACUUCUCCUGGCCUCCAGAAAGGCUCAUGUGCAGAAGAAAGAAAUCACUGAGUAUGAUAGGCCAAGUUGAGCGGAAUUCUCAUUAUACAUGUACACACACAUGCAAGAGAGAGGUUUAGACUUCAGGAACAGAGUGAUCCAUGAGGCUUUUCAUGAUGCUUGUUGCCAUCCUCUUUAUUAUAUACUCAUAAAUACUUGAAGGCAUGAUGGUAAUUGUCACUACAUUCCCAGCUGUUGCCAAGAUGUCUGCAAUCUGAGGGUCCUUCAAUCCAAUUACAUUCUGGCCAUUAAUUUCACAAAUGUUGUGCUCUGUAAGAAGUCCAUUUCUUGCAGCAGAGCUGUCUUUCACUAUCGAGGUUAUUUUUCCAUUCUUGAAUAUGAAACCAACAUGCCCUGUGCUGUCCUUAUGCAUAGUAAUAAUACGUUCAAAAGGCCUGUCCCGAAUGAUCAUUGAAAUCCUCUCCCCGGAAGCCUGUUUCAGAACUUUGUGUGCUUUAUCAGAACUCCACCCUGCACAGUUUUCACCAUUGAUCUGCAGAACUUGGUCCCCAAACCGCAGGCCAGCUAGAGACGCUGGAGAGUUUGCUUGUACUAAUUGAACAAAUAUUCCGUUGUCAACAGACUUCAGGCGAAGUCCAAUUUUCCCAUCUUGAUCUUUACACAAAAUCGUUUCACGGAUGCCCUGCUUAAUUUCUGCUCGUCGAACUCCAAUAUCAUUUCCAGUCACUGGAGCUACCAUAUAAUUAGCAGGAGGUCGCGAUACCAGUUGACCUUGUGGCUGAGCAACUGGCAAGUUUCUCUGCACCUCUUCUUCAUUGAGGCUCAGACCCAUAUACUGAGAAAGUUCUGGAUAUAAUCUGGGGUACAAACCUCCAUCGUGAGGAAUAGGAGCAGAAGCUUCAGACAAGAUUGCUGGAUUAGCUGGAUUUGAAGAGAAGGCAGUCUGAGCCUGAAUAACUUUGUCCACCUUCAGAUCUUCCAAGGAAGGAUAGAGAGACAUGUUGAUGCAGCCUCACUCCGGCCCGGCCGUUGAGGAAAGGAUCAGCACACAGAAGAACGACUGCGGCUCGCACAACUCCCGGCGGCGCCGCUGUGAGGGGAGCGGGGGCGGCGGCGG